UUGAAAUGAGUCUCACCAAGUUUCACACCGUCUUGUUGCAGAGAUUACAGUGCCCUGACAUUUUACCCGCUUGGCUAGGCCGGGCCCAUUGUGCCGAUGUUCCUGCUUCUAGUCGCUUUCAGGCACAGCCCACAGCAGCACAUUGCUCUGUGCCUUGCAUCAUGGGCCUCUCACCGUCUGCCCCGGGGCUUCCCUGUUGUGGAAGAUCAAGGCGCCGUGGGACCCACUACCUAAGCAGAUGAUGAGCCAGGCACCUGGACCCGCAGCAGAACAAGACCAUCAUGCCACCUGACUGCUCAAGUCCUUCCAGAGAGCAGGGCUGAAAAUCACUUGAGCCAGGCUCGUAUUGCUCCUGCAUCCCACAGGCUGAGUUCCAAGGGAAGUGGUCCUCUCCUGUCCUGAGUGGUCAUCUCUUGUCCUGAGUGGUCAUCUCCUGUCCUGAGUGGUCAUCUCCUGUCCUGCUCACCUGCUCUGUGACUAACUAAGAUGAAGGAGACUUCAUUGGUCAGUUCCCUGCUGAGUCUCAAAGCCAAGACAAGCAAUUACGGUGCAUAUUUAACAUAUCAAAGUGGACCUGGCUGCCAUGUUGUCCCAGCAUCCCUCAGUCCCUAUCUGUUAACAGGGUGUAGCUGGCAUACACUGCCCUCUACCCUGAACUCUUCAGCCCAGGCUCUGGGCUGCCCUUCCCCCGAGAGGCUCUUCCCUACAUAAUCCAGCUAUUUUGGUACCUGCCCCUUUUGUAUCUGUGGCCUCUUA
RNAcentral lists this long non-coding RNA (756 nucleotides) under Mus musculus (house mouse). RNAcentral's name for it is "brown adipose tissue enriched long noncoding RNA 6". The record is from RNAcentral. Lineage: Eukaryota; Metazoa; Chordata; Mammalia; Rodentia; Muridae.